This 72-nucleotide transfer RNA is filed under the name Cronartium ribicola 11-2. RNAcentral describes it as "tRNA-Ser (GGA) (tRNA-Ser-GGA-3-1)". It matches the Rfam family "tRNA". From Rfam's summary of the family: Transfer RNA (tRNA) molecules are approximately 80 nucleotides in length. Their secondary structure includes four short double-helical elements and three loops (D, anti-codon, and T loops). The record is from RNAcentral. Lineage: Eukaryota; Fungi; Basidiomycota; Pucciniomycetes; Pucciniales; Coleosporiaceae.
GUGUGCGUAGCUCAGUGGUUAGAGCAUCCCUCUGGAUUGAGGCAAUCAUGGGUUCAAAUCCCAUUGCACACA